UACGGAGGGUGCAAACGUUGCUCGGAAUCAUUGGGCGUAAAGCGUGCGUAGGCGGUCUGAUAAGUCGGACGUGAAAGCCCUGGGCUUAACCCAGGAAGUGCAUCCGAAACUGUCAGGCUUGAAUAUCGGAGAGGAUGACGGAAUUCCCGGUGUAGAGGUGAAAUUCGUAGAUAUCGGGAGGAACACCUGUGGCGAAGGCGGUCAUCUGGACGAUUAUUGACGCUGAGUGCACGAAAGCGUGGGGAGCAAACAGG
Molecule: ribosomal RNA, 254 nt
Filed under: uncultured bacterium
Lineage: Bacteria
Description: partial 16S ribosomal RNA
Rfam family: Bacterial small subunit ribosomal RNA
Source: RNAcentral